UUAUUAUUUGCUAAGGCUAUAUUAAAUUACGUUCAUAAUAAUAAACUAGCACUUGGCCUUGCUCCAUUGUCGCCUCAAUUGUGGAAGGCAGCAUUGGCAUGAAUAUCCUUCCUCUCCUACCCCAAGUUGUUCUUCAAACUUUGGAUGGAGAAACAUUAGUUACAAGCAACAAGGAAUGACCAAAUCCAUAUUAUUGACUCAAAAAGGGCACAAUGUAUUUCUCAGAACUUUAAAGGAAAUCACAAGCCCAAUGGGGAGAGGAGGUUCUACAAUUUACUUGCAGGUCAUAUAACAAAUGAGGGAGAGAGAAGUUGGGGCGAAGGCCAUAGAGAAGCAGGAAGCUAGGAAUCACAAGAGGGUGAAUGGUCAGACCAAAACCAGGUGGGGAGACCUCCAUACCAAGGUUGUGCGCAUUAGAAAUGCCUAUACACUGAGAAACAUGCAUCCCCAUUCAGACAACAGACAGCUUCGAUCACCCUAAGCGAUUGAACUUUCAUGCCACAAGCAUUUAAAUUUAAAAAAUAAAAAUAAAAAUAAAAAACCUAUCUGGUUAAGACAUUACAUUACGGAUGCACUAAUAAUUCUGUUAAGAUGAAACCAGAUUCUUCUUGACCAGCUCCAUGAAAGGAUUGUUGAUAGAGCGGAAGCCUAUUAAAUCACAAAACAUAUCCUUCUCUUAUUUGCUGGACAACAAAGCUCUUUCAAGGCACAAAAAUUACAGUCAUAAUCCUAAACCAGAUUGCCGUUUUGAUGGGCAAUAGGGGUUUGGGUUUUACCAACAAUUGCCAACACCAAAGAGUCUAGGGAGCACGGUUUGGCAUGGACCGGCCUCGGCCCCUCCCAACAUAGCCAUAACCCCUUCCGUAAUACGGACCUCGAGAUCGCCCUCCACGAUUAGGUCCACGCCCCCCUCGACCACCCCGAUGCCUUGAGAAUUCACCAAAAG
Long non-coding RNA from Malania oleifera, 946 nucleotides. RefSeq lists it as uncharacterized. The record is from RefSeq and is a predicted model, not a curated record. Lineage: Eukaryota; Viridiplantae; Streptophyta; Magnoliopsida; Santalales; Ximeniaceae. The transcript is spliced from 2 exons.